Molecule: long non-coding RNA, 340 nt
Filed under: Nicotiana benthamiana
Lineage: Eukaryota; Viridiplantae; Streptophyta; Magnoliopsida; Solanales; Solanaceae
Description: long non-coding RNA (NBEN_LNC001949)
Source: RNAcentral
CGUAGCGCCCGAACGUAUAUUCUAGUAAUAAUAUAUAUUAGAUUUCCAUUCAGUUAAAUAUCAUAAGAGAAGAUAGGCUGCUUACUAUCGAAAGUCAGACUCAGUCUGUCUUCUGGCAAGAGAAGUCGUAUCGAGAAAGCGGCAGGCCCAAAGAGCUCUACAGUAGUGCCUUGCUCAAUAAUUUCAAUGCAACUGUGCAGAGACUAAUGGGGCGUAGUUGUGCAAGACUUUCUGGGUUAUCUAUUUUGGGGAUCAACGUGAUGAGUGUAUGGUUCAUUUCAAAGGGGAAGGACCCUUCAGAGAAGGCAUACUGCACAAACUUGAUUAAAUCCUCGCCAAC